RNAcentral lists this unclassified non-coding RNA (158 nucleotides) under Paracoccus seriniphilus. RNAcentral's name for it is "6S / SsrS RNA". The record is from RNAcentral. Lineage: Bacteria; Pseudomonadati; Pseudomonadota; Alphaproteobacteria; Rhodobacterales; Paracoccaceae.
GGGUUUCUGCUCUUCUCGCGCGUGGCCUUUUUUCCACUGGCCUAUAACUUCUCCGAGGGGGCUGGCUCUGUCGAGGCCCUGGUCUCGUUAUCUGGCGCCCACCUGGUACUCCAGGCUUUCGGGAAAUCUCGCGCCGCCGCGGUCGCUGCGGUUCCCGC